Molecule: ribosomal RNA, 431 nt
Filed under: uncultured Alphaproteobacteria bacterium
Lineage: Bacteria; Pseudomonadati; Pseudomonadota; Alphaproteobacteria
Description: bacterial SSU rRNA
Rfam family: Bacterial small subunit ribosomal RNA
Source: RNAcentral
GAACGCUUGCUGCAUGCUUUAUACAUGCAAGUCGAACGGAGGCCCUAGCUUGCUAGGUGUCCUUAGUGGCGCACGGGUGAGUAACACGUGGGAACAUACCUUAUAGUACGGAAUAACUGCGGGAAACUGUAGCUAAUACCGUAUAUUCCAGUAAUGGGAAAGAUUUAUCGCUAUAAGAUUGGCCCGCGCAAGAUUAGCUUGUUGGUGAGGUAAAAGCUCACCAAGGCUUCGAUCUUUAGCUGGUUUGAGAGGACGAUCAGCCACACUGGGACUGAGACACGGCCCAGACUCCUACGGGAGGCAGCAGUAGGGAAUAUUGGACAAUGGGGGCAACCCUGAUCCAGCAAUGCAGCGUGAGUGACGAAGGCCUUAGGGUUGUAAAACUCUUUCAUCGGUGAGGAUAAUGACAGUAGCCGAAGAAGAAGGACCGG